Long non-coding RNA from Oreochromis aureus, 204 nucleotides. RefSeq lists it as uncharacterized. The record is from RefSeq and is a predicted model, not a curated record. The transcript has 3 exons. NCBI's taxonomy places the organism in Eukaryota, Metazoa, Chordata, Actinopteri, Cichliformes, Cichlidae.
CAGGAGUGUGAAUGGUUGUCUUCCUCUGUGUGAUAGUCUUGCAAUAGACCGGUGAUCUCUGGUGACUUUAUUUCCUCAUCAGACAUGGGUCAUAUGAUCAAGUGGAUUAACCUCAGCGAACUUCCAGGUAAAUUAAAAGGACGACUGAACAACAGAACAUCCAUGAUGUACAUCGAUAUGAUGAAGAUCAAAUAAAGAUGCAAA